RNAcentral lists this ribosomal RNA (801 nucleotides) under Harringtonia lauricola. RNAcentral describes it as "Raffaelea lauricola partial large subunit ribosomal RNA". It matches the Rfam family "Eukaryotic large subunit ribosomal RNA", at positions 82 to 906 of the family's 3401-position model. The record is from RNAcentral. Lineage: Eukaryota; Fungi; Ascomycota; Sordariomycetes; Ophiostomatales; Ophiostomataceae.
AGUAACGGCGAGUGAAGCGGCAACAGCUCAAAUUUGAAAUCUGGCCCCCCGCGGGCCCGAGUUGUACUUUGGAGAGGACGCUUCUGGCGCGGCGCCGUCCGAGUUCCCUGGAACGGGACGCCGGAGAGGGUGAGAGCCCCGUACGGGCGGCCGCCUAGCCUCUGCGAAGCUCCUUCGACGAGUCGAGUAGUUUGGGAAUGCUGCUCAAAAUGGGAGGUAAAUUUCUUCUAAAGCUAAAUACCGGCCAGAGACCGAUAGCGCACAAGUAGAGUGAUCGAAAGAUGAAAAGCACUUUGAAAAGAGGGUCAAACAGUACGUGAAAUUGUUGAAAGGGAAGCGCCUGUGGCCAGACUUGCGCCCCGCGGACCACCCGGCGCCUCGCGCGCCGGGGCACGCCAGCGGGGCGCAGGCCAGCAUCGGCUCUCUCGGGGGGACAAAGGCCGCGGGAACGUAGCGCCCUCGCGGCGUAUUAUAGCCCGCGGCGCCAUGCCCCCGGGGGGGCCGAGGACCGCGCUCCGGCAAGGAUGCUGGCGUAAUGGCCACCGGCGACCCGUCUUGAAACACGGACCAAGGAGUCAAGCAUUGGGGCGAGUGUCUGGGUGGCAAGCCCGCACGCGGAAUGAAAGUGAACGCAGGUGGGAGCUUCGGCGCACCACCGACCGAUCCUGAUGUCCUCGGAUGGAUUUGAGUAGGAGCCCCGCCGCUUGGACCCGAAAGAUGGUGAACUAUGCCUGUAUAGGGUGAAGCCAGAGGAAACUCUGGUGGAGGCCCGCAGCGGUUCUGACGUGCAAAUCGAUCGUC